RNAcentral lists this long non-coding RNA (537 nucleotides) under Ananas comosus (pineapple). Its description in RNAcentral is "long non-coding RNA (ACOM_LNC038687)". Lineage: Eukaryota; Viridiplantae; Streptophyta; Magnoliopsida; Poales; Bromeliaceae. The record is from RNAcentral.
ACGUGUCCAGACCCGCCAUACGUCUAAAACAUAUAAGGCGUCUAUAAAACAACGGUAAAUAAAGCAAUAAUAAAAGACAUCUAGGAGUAUCAGAGCAUAGUACAGUAUCUAGAUUCUAUAAGAGGAAACAAGUAAAGGAGCUAACAUCCACCAUAAGUAAAUCAAAGGUAGUACAAUAGAAAUCCCAAAACAAGUGCUAUAAGUAAAUACAUAGGUGGUCUCUAUACAUGGAUACAAAACCUCACUCUCUCUCAACAACAACAAAAAGAGAGAAAACCACCUAAGCAACAAUAAAUCCUCGCUAUCUAGCUAGCGAUCCCCUUGCCGCGAUCCCGUGCCUCCGCCGGUGCAGAGGGCUCUGAAAGAAAAAUCAUAAAACAAGGGGCCUGAGAACUAUUAAAUAAUAGUUCCCAGUGGGCAAUUACUGACUUCAGUGAAAGCACCACUAGGCCCAAAAGAGCUAAACAGGUAAGUAACAAUAAAAACAAUAGAAUCGAUAUGUAAGUAAACAUGUAAACUUACUACAACAUGAUAUCU